Molecule: ribosomal RNA, 433 nt
Filed under: uncultured bacterium
Lineage: Bacteria
Description: partial 16S ribosomal RNA
Rfam family: Bacterial small subunit ribosomal RNA
Source: RNAcentral
AACGAACGCUGGCGGCAUGCCUAACACAUGCAAGUCGAACGAGACCUUCGGGUCUAGUGGCGCACGGGUGCGUAACGCGUGGGAACCUGCCUUUAGGUUCGGAAUAACUCAGAGAAAUUUGAGCUAAUACCGGAUGAUGUCUUCGGACCAAAGAUUUAUCGCCUUUAGAUGGGCCCGCGUUGGAUUAGCUAGUUGGUGGGGUAAAGGCCUACCAAGGCGACGAUCCAUAGCUGGUCUGAGAGGAUGAUCAGCCACACUGGGACUGAGACACGGCCCAGACUCCUACGGGAGGCAGCAGUGGGGAAUAUUGGACAAUGGGCGAAAGCCUGAUCCAGCAAUGCCGCGUGAGUGAUGAAGGCCUUAGGGUUGUAAAGCUCUUUUACCCGAGAUGAUAAUGACAGUAUCGGGAGAAUAAGCUCCGGCUUACUCCGUG